RNAcentral lists this ribosomal RNA (253 nucleotides) under uncultured bacterium. RNAcentral's name for it is "partial 16S ribosomal RNA". It matches the Rfam family "Bacterial small subunit ribosomal RNA", at positions 524 to 776 of the family's 1533-position model. The record is from RNAcentral.
UACAGAGGGUGCGAGCGUUAAUCGGAAUUACUGGGCGUAAAGGGCUCGUAGGCGGCCAUCUAAGUCGGACGUGAAAUCCCUCGGCUUAACCUGGGAACUGCAUUUGUGACUGCAUCGCUGGAGUGCGGCAGAGGGGGAUGGAAUUCCGCGUGUAGCAGUGAAAUGCGUAGAUAUGCGGAGGAACACCGAUGGCGAAGGCAAUCCCCUGGGCCUGCACUGACGCUCAUGCACGAAAGCGUGGGGAGCAAACAGG